AGAGUUUGAUCCUGGCUCAGAACGAACGUUGGCGGCGUGGAUUAGGCAUGCAAGUCGAGGGCGAAAGGGGGGCAACUCCCGAGUAGACCGGCGUAAGGGGUAGUAAGGCGUGGGUAACCAACCCUCCGGAUGGGGAUAGCUAUGGGAAACCGUAGGUAAUACCCAACGACGUUGCCGAGAGGCAUCUCUUGGCAACCAAAGGUGUGAUUCCGCCAGAGGACGGGCUCACGUGGUAUUAGCUAGUUGGUAGGGUAAUGGCCUACCAAGGCUACGAUGCCUAGGGGGUGUUAGCGCACGACCCCCACCACUGGGACUGAGACACUGCCCAGACACCUACGGGUGGCUGCAGUCGAGAAUCUUCGGCAAUGGGCGCAAGCCUGACCGAGCGACGCCGCGUGGAGGAUGAAGGCCUUCGGGUUGUAAACUCCUGUCAGAGGGGAUGAAAGUCAGGGUGGCUCUCCAUCCUGAUUGACAUAUCCUCAGAGGAAGCACGGGCUAAGUUCGUGCCAGCAGCCGCGGUAAGACGAACCGUGCAAACGUUGUUCGGAAUCACUGGGCUUAAAGGGCGCGUAGGCGGUGUGUUAAGUCGGUGGUGAAAUACUUCGGCUCAACCGGAGAAUUGCCGCUGAAACUGGCACGCUAGAGGGAGGUAGAGGUGUGUGGAACUUCCGGUGGAGUGGUGAAAUACGUUGAUAUCGGAAGGAACGCCUGUGGCGAAAGCGAUACACUGGACCUCUUCUGACGCUGAGGCGCGAAAGCUAGGGUAGCGAACGGGAUUAGAUACCCCGGUAGUCCUAGCCCUAAACGAUGGGUACUAGAGAGUAGAUGCUCCGAUGUGUUUACUCUCGAAGCAAAAGUGGUAAGUACCCCGCCUGGGGGAGUAUGGUCGCAAGGGCUGAAACUCAAAUGAAUUGACGG
This 918-nucleotide ribosomal RNA is filed under the name uncultured bacterium. Its description in RNAcentral is "bacterial SSU rRNA". It matches the Rfam family "Bacterial small subunit ribosomal RNA", at positions 8 to 916 of the family's 1533-position model. The record is from RNAcentral.